GACGAACGUUGGCGGCGUGCUUAACACAUGCAAGUCGAACGGAAAGGCCCUGCUUUUGUGGGGUGCUCGAGUGGCGAACGGGUGAGUAACACGUGAGUAACCUGCCCUUGACUUUGGGAUAACUUCAGGAAACUGGGGCUAAUACCGGAUAGGAGCUCCUGCUGCAUGGUGGGGGUUGGAAAGUUUCGGCGGUUGGGGAUGGACUCGCGGCUUAUCAGCUUGUUGGUGGGGUAGUGGCUUACCAAGGCUUUGACGGGUAGCCGGCCUGAGAGGGUGACCGGCCACAUUGGGACUGAGAUACGGCCCAGACUCCUACGGGAGGCAGCAGUGGGGAAUAUUGCACAAUGGGCGGAAGCCUGAUGCAGCAACGCCGCGUGCGGGAUGACGGCCUUCGGGUUGUAAACCGCUUUCGCCUGUGACGAAGCGUGAGUGACGGUAAUGGGUAAAGAAGCACCGGCUAACUACGUGCAGCAGCCGCGGUGAUACGUAGGGUGCGAGCGUUGUCCGGAUUUAUUGGGCGUAAAGGGCUCGUAGGUGGUUGAUCGCGUCGGAAGUGUAAUCUUGGGGCUUAACCCUGAGCGUGCUUUCGAUACGGGUUGACUUGAGGAAGGUAGGGGAGAAUGGAAUUCCUGGUGGAGCGGUGGAAUGCGCAGAUAUCAGGAGGAACACCAGUGGCGAAGGCGGUUCUCUGGGCCUUUCCUGACGCUGAGGAGCGAAAGCGUGGGGAGCGAACAGGCUUAGAUACCCUGGUAGUCCACGCUGUAAACGGUGGGUACUAGGUGUGGGGUCCAUUCCACGGGUUCCGUGCCGUAGCUAACGCUUUAAGUACCCCGCCUGGGGAGUACGGCCGCAAGGCUAAAACUCAAAGGAAUUGACGGGGCCCCGCACAAGCGGCGGAGCAUGCGGAUUAAUUCGAUGCAACGCGUAGAACCUUACCUGGGUUUGACAUGGAUCGGGAGUGCUCAGAGAUGGGUGUGCCUCUUUUGGGGUCGGUUCACAGGUGGUGCAUGCCUGUCGUCAGCUCGUGUCGUGAGAUGUUGGGUUAAGUCCCGCAACGAGCGCAACCCUUGUUCACUGUUGCCAGCACGUUAUGGUGGGGACUCAGUGGAGACCGCCGGGGUCAACUCGGAGGAAGGUGGGGAUGACGUCAAGUCAUCAUGCCCCUUAUGUCCAGGGCUUCACGCAUGCUACAAUGGCUGGUACAGAGAGUGGCGAGCCUGUGAGGGUGAGCGAAUCUCGGAAAGCCGGUCUCAGUUCGGAUUGGGGUCUGCAACUCGACCUCAUGAAGUCGGAGUCGCUAGUAAUCGCAAAUCAGCAACGCUGCGGUGAAUACGUUCCCGGG
RNAcentral lists this ribosomal RNA (1342 nucleotides) under uncultured bacterium. Its description in RNAcentral is "16S ribosomal RNA". It matches the Rfam family "Bacterial small subunit ribosomal RNA", at positions 28 to 1378 of the family's 1533-position model. The record is from RNAcentral.